Molecule: transfer RNA, 77 nt
Filed under: Mycobacterium avium
Lineage: Bacteria; Bacillati; Actinomycetota; Actinomycetes; Mycobacteriales; Mycobacteriaceae
Also listed under: 24 other names
Description: tRNA-Phe
Rfam family: tRNA
About the family: Transfer RNA (tRNA) molecules are approximately 80 nucleotides in length. Their secondary structure includes four short double-helical elements and three loops (D, anti-codon, and T loops). Further hydrogen bonds mediate the characteristic L-shaped molecular structure. tRNAs have two regions of fundamental functional importance: the anti-codon, which is responsible for specific mRNA codon recognition, and the 3' end, to which the tRNAs corresponding amino acid is attached (by aminoacyl-tRNA synthetases). tRNAs cope with the degeneracy of the genetic code in two manners: having more than one tRNA (with a specific anti-codon) for a particular amino acid; and 'wobble' base-pairing, i.e. permitting non-standard base-pairing at the 3rd anti-codon position.
Source: RNAcentral
GGCCAGGUAGCUCAGUCGGUACGAGCGUCCGCCUGAAAAGCGGAAGGUCGCCGGUUCGAUCCCGGCCCUGGCCACCA